AUGCACACAAAAAUACAACCACCAACAGCAGCUGCUGUGAGUGGGGGUGCAGGCAAUGAUGAUGCUACUUCUGGAAAUGAGACUGGGAACAGACACACUAGUUUAUUGGCGCCGAAGAAAUGGAAAGAAAUGGGGCGCCCAACAACCAGCCGGGAGAAGGCACCGUACGAGGGACUCAGCAAGCGGACAAUGUUCUGCAGCAUAUGUCGGCAGCAGGGGCACAAGAGGACUACAUGCCUGGACCGGGGAGAUGCCCUGAAGCCUGUUUGUAAACCAGCAAGGUGCAAGAAUUGUGGGAUUGAAGGUCAUAGACGAAACAACUGCCAGAAAUUGGGUGAUUUACGGAUGAUUGGCUUGUGA
RNAcentral lists this ribosomal RNA (360 nucleotides) under Triticum aestivum (bread wheat). RNAcentral describes it as "partial small subunit ribosomal RNA". Lineage: Eukaryota; Viridiplantae; Streptophyta; Magnoliopsida; Poales; Poaceae. The record is from RNAcentral.